RNAcentral lists this ribosomal RNA (2929 nucleotides) under Bacillus cereus. RNAcentral describes it as "bacterial LSU rRNA". It matches the Rfam family "Bacterial large subunit ribosomal RNA". The record is from RNAcentral. Lineage: Bacteria; Bacillati; Bacillota; Bacilli; Caryophanales; Bacillaceae.
UUUGGUUAAGUUAGAAAGGGCGCACGGUGGAUGCCUUGACACUAGGAGUCGAUGAAGGACGGGACUAACGCCGAUAUGCUUCGGGGAGCUGUAAGUAAGCUUUGAUCCGAAGAUUUCCGAAUGGGGAAACCCACCAUACGUAAUGGUAUGGUAUCCUUAUCUGAAUACAUAGGGUAAGGAAGACAGACCCAGGGAACUGAAACAUCUAAGUACCUGGAGGAAGAGAAAGCAAAUGCGAUUUCCUGAGUAGCGGCGAGCGAAACGGAACAUAGCCCAAACCAAGAGGCUUGCCUCUUGGGGUUGUAGGACAUUCUAUACGGAGUUACAAAGGAACGAGGUAGACGAAGCGACCUGGAAAGGUCCGUCGUAGAGGGUAACAACCCCGUAGUCGAAACUUCGUUCUCUCUUGAAUGUAUCCUGAGUACGGCGGAACACGUGAAAUUCCGUCGGAAUCUGGGAGGACCAUCUCCCAAGGCUAAAUACUCCCUAGUGAUCGAUAGUGAACCAGUACCGUGAGGGAAAGGUGAAAAGCACCCCGGAAGGGGAGUGAAAGAGAUCCUGAAACCGUGUGCCUACAAAUAGUCAGAGCCCGUUAACGGGUGAUGGCGUGCCUUUUGUAGAAUGAACCGGCGAGUUACGAUCCCGUGCAAGGUUAAGCUGAAGAGGCGGAGCCGCAGCGAAAGCGAGUCUGAAUAGGGCGUUUAGUACGUGGUCGUAGACCCGAAACCAGGUGAUCUACCCAUGUCCAGGGUGAAGUUCAGGUAACACUGAAUGGAGGCCCGAACCCACGCACGUUGAAAAGUGCGGGGAUGAGGUGUGGGUAGCGGAGAAAUUCCAAUCGAACCUGGAGAUAGCUGGUUCUCCCCGAAAUAGCUUUAGGGCUAGCCUUAAGUGUAAGAGUCUUGGAGGUAGAGCACUGAUUGGACUAGGGGUCCUCAUCGGAUUACCGAAUUCAGUCAAACUCCGAAUGCCAAUGACUUAUCCUUAGGAGUCAGACUGCGAGUGAUAAGAUCCGUAGUCAAAAGGGAAACAGCCCAGACCGCCAGCUAAGGUCCCAAAGUGUGUAUUAAGUGGAAAAGGAUGUGGAGUUGCUUAGACAACUAGGAUGUUGGCUUAGAAGCAGCCACCAUUUAAAGAGUGCGUAAUAGCUCACUAGUCGAGUGACUCUGCGCCGAAAAUGUACCGGGGCUAAAUACACCACCGAAGCUGCGGAUUGAUACCAAUGGUAUCAGUGGUAGGGGAGCGUUCUAAGGACAGUGAAGUCAGACCGUAAGGACUGGUGGAGUGCUUAGAAGUGAGAAUGCCGGUAUGAGUAGCGAAAGACGGGUGAGAAUCCCGUCCACCGAAUGCCUAAGGUUUCCUGAGGAAGGCUCGUCCGCUCAGGGUUAGUCAGGACCUAAGCCGAGGCCGACAGGCGUAGGCGAUGGACAACAGGUUGAUAUUCCUGUACCACCUCUUUAUCGUUUGAGCAAUGGAGGGACGCAGAAGGAUAGAAGAAGCGUGCGAUUGGUUGUGCACGUCCAAGCAGUUAGGCUGAUAAGUAGGCAAAUCCGCUUAUCAUAAAGGCUGAGCUGUGAUGGGGAAGCUCCUUAUGGAGCGAAGUCUUUGAUUCCCCGCUGCCAAGAAAAGCUUCUAGCGAGAUAAAAGGUGCCUGUACCGCAAACCGACACAGGUAGGCGAGGAGAGAAUCCUAAGGUGUGCGAGAGAACUCUGGUUAAGGAACUCGGCAAAAUGACCCCGUAACUUCGGGAGAAGGGGUGCUUUCUUAACGGAAAGCCGCAGUGAAUAGGCCCAAGCGACUGUUUAGCAAAAACACAGCUCUCUGCGAAGCCGUAAGGCGAAGUAUAGGGGGUGACACCUGCCCGGUGCUGGAAGGUUAAGGAGAGGGGUUAGCGUAAGCGAAGCUCUGAACUGAAGCCCCAGUAAACGGCGGCCGUAACUAUAACGGUCCUAAGGUAGCGAAAUUCCUUGUCGGGUAAGUUCCGACCCGCACGAAAGGUGUAACGAUUUGGGCACUGUCUCAACCAGAGACUCGGUGAAAUUAUAGUACCUGUGAAGAUGCAGGUUACCCGCGACAGGACGGAAAGACCCCGUGGAGCUUUACUGUAGCCUGAUAUUGAAUUUUGGUACAGUUUGUACAGGAUAGGCGGGAGCCAUUGAAACCGGAGCGCUAGCUUCGGUGGAGGCGCUGGUGGGAUACCGCCCUGACUGUAUUGAAAUUCUAACCUACGGGUCUUAUCGACCCGGGAGACAGUGUCAGGUGGGCAGUUUGACUGGGGCGGUCGCCUCCUAAAGUGUAACGGAGGCGCCCAAAGGUUCCCUCAGAAUGGUUGGAAAUCAUUCGUAGAGUGCAAAGGCAUAAGGGAGCUUGACUGCGAGACCUACAAGUCGAGCAGGGACGAAAGUCGGGCUUAGUGAUCCGGUGGUUCCGCAUGGAAGGGCCAUCGCUCAACGGAUAAAAGCUACCCCGGGGAUAACAGGCUUAUCUCCCCCAAGAGUCCACAUCGACGGGGAGGUUUGGCACCUCGAUGUCGGCUCAUCGCAUCCUGGGGCUGUAGUCGGUCCCAAGGGUUGGGCUGUUCGCCCAUUAAAGCGGUACGCGAGCUGGGUUCAGAACGUCGUGAGACAGUUCGGUCCCUAUCCGUCGUGGGCGUAGGAAAUUUGAGAGGAGCUGUCCUUAGUACGAGAGGACCGGGAUGGACGCACCGCUGGUGUACCAGUUGUUCUGCCAAGGGCAUAGCUGGGUAGCUAUGUGCGGAAGGGAUAAGUGCUGAAAGCAUCUAAGCAUGAAGCCCCCCUCAAGAUGAGAUUUCCCAUAGCGUAAGCUAGUAAGAUCCCUGAAAGAUGAUCAGGUUGAUAGGUUCGAGGUGGAAGCAUGGUGACAUGUGGAGCUGACGAAUACUAAUAGAUCGAGGACUUAACCAUAUAA